RNAcentral lists this transfer RNA (73 nucleotides) under Dendronephthya gigantea. RNAcentral describes it as "tRNA-Val". It matches the Rfam family "tRNA". Rfam says of the family: Transfer RNA (tRNA) molecules are approximately 80 nucleotides in length. Their secondary structure includes four short double-helical elements and three loops (D, anti-codon, and T loops). Lineage: Eukaryota; Metazoa; Cnidaria; Anthozoa; Malacalcyonacea; Nephtheidae. The record is from RNAcentral.
GUUUUCGUAGUGUAGUGGUUAUCACAUGCGCUUAACACGUGGAAGGUCCCCAUUUCAAACCUGGGCGGAAACA